CAGUAGCCGCGGUAAUACGUAGGUCCCGAGCGUUGUCCGGAUUUAUUGGGCGUAAAGGGAGCGCAGGCGGUUUAGUAAGUCUGAAGUUAAAGGCAUUGGCUCAACCAAUGUAUGCUUUGGAAACUGUUUGACUUGAGUGCAGAAGGGGAGAGUGGAAUUCCAUGUGUAGCGGAGAAAUGCGUAGAUAUAUGGAGGAACACCGGUGGCGAAAGCGGCUCUCUGGUCUGUCACUGACGCUGAGGCUCGAAAGCGUGGGUAGCGAACAGGAUUAGAUACCCGAGUAGUCCCUGUCUCUUAUACA
Molecule: ribosomal RNA, 301 nt
Filed under: uncultured bacterium
Lineage: Bacteria
Description: partial 16S ribosomal RNA
Rfam family: Bacterial small subunit ribosomal RNA
Source: RNAcentral